Molecule: ribosomal RNA, 82 nt
Filed under: uncultured Bacteroidota bacterium
Lineage: Bacteria; Pseudomonadati; Bacteroidota
Description: uncultured Bacteroidetes bacterium partial 16S ribosomal RNA
Source: RNAcentral
UUACUCUUGGAUAGCCUUCCGAAAGGGAGAUUAAUACAAGAUUGUAUCUGAAUUUCGCAUGUUACUCAGAUUAAAGAUUUAU